Molecule: ribosomal RNA, 253 nt
Filed under: uncultured bacterium
Lineage: Bacteria
Description: partial 16S ribosomal RNA
Rfam family: Bacterial small subunit ribosomal RNA
Source: RNAcentral
UACGAAGGGUGCAAGCGUUAUUCGGAAUCAUUGGGCGUAAAGGGUGUGUAGACGGCAUGUUAAGUUCGUUGUUAAAGAUCUCGGCCUAACCGGGAGAGCGCAACGAAAACUAGCAAGCUAGAGGGUGAGAGAGAGAAGUGGAAUUCCCGGAGUAGCGGUAAAAUGCGUGGAUCUCGGGAGGAACACCAAUGGCGAAGGCAGCUUCUUGGCUCAUUUCUGACGUUGAGGCACGAAAGCGUGGGGAGCAAACAGG